This 371-nucleotide ribosomal RNA is filed under the name uncultured organism. Its description in RNAcentral is "bacterial SSU rRNA". It matches the Rfam family "Bacterial small subunit ribosomal RNA", at positions 526 to 896 of the family's 1533-position model. The record is from RNAcentral.
CGAAGGGGGCUAGCGUUGUUCGGAAUUACUGGGCGUAAAGGGCGUGUAGGCGGCCCGUUAAGACAGGUGUGAAAUUCCUGGGCUCAACCCAGGACGUGCGCCUGUGACUGGCGGGCUUGAGUCCGGGAGAGGAUGGUGGAACUCCCAGUGUAGAGGUGAAAUUCGUAGAUAUUGGGAAGAACACCCGUGGCGAAGGCGGCCAUCUGGACCGGUACUGACGCUAAGGCGCGACAGCGUGGGGAGCAAACAGGAUUAGAUACCCCGGUAGUCCACGCCGUAAACGAUGAGUGCUAGACGUUGGGAAGCCUAGCUUUUCAGUGUCGCAGCUAACGCAUUAAGCACUCCGCCUGGGGAGUACGGCCGCAAGGUUG